This is a non-coding RNA of Paramuricea clavata, 1660 nucleotides long. NCBI's taxonomy places the organism in Eukaryota, Metazoa, Cnidaria, Anthozoa, Malacalcyonacea, Plexauridae. The record is from the annotation of a GenBank genome assembly.
UGACAGAUAUGUUAUGGGGCCAAAUUCCUAUAUGUUCCUUUUGAAUUGACCAAUCAAUUUUUAUGAAGUUUUUAUGGAAUUAUUCGAACAUUUGAAGAAUUGUUCAAACAUCUUGGGGGUAGUUGGAUAGGCUGAAAUAUAUUUGCCUAAAGUUCUUACAAAACUGUUUUUGUUUACAGCUGGACACAACAAUGAUGAGUGUAUGUACCGGAUAUUUGCUGGAUAAUUUUGUCAUUACAACUGCAUAACCUUACUUGCAGAACAAUCUCGAUCAAGCUGAUUGCUACAUGUAUUUAUAAGUAAUACCACGAAAAAGUUAAAUGGGCCGAAUCGAGUGUGCUCUUUGAUAGCUAAUACAACAAAAUUUCAUGGUAUUAUUUUGUAGAUUUGUUGUUCGUCUGGUUAUGCAUCUUCAGUAUAAAGAUGGGCACAAGAUCAUCUUUUAAAAAGGUUUUGUGGCCAUCUUUAUAUCGAAGACACAGAACCAGGAAAGCUUAUUGAUCUGAUAAUUCUUCUUUAUACUACCCGAUUAUAAAAGAUGCAUGAUGGCUCCAGACGCAAUCAGAGGCCACUGUUUUUUUCAACUAUAAUAACACAACCAUGUUUUAAAUAUAACAAAAUAACUUUUUAAUUGUCGCCACUUGAUUUUGAUUAUUGUAGUUCGUCGACUAUUUAUAGAAAGGUUCAUAUUCGACUUUCACUACCAUUACCACUACCGUUAAUGACUGCUAACCAAUCAGAUGUGUAUUAAGUCUAAGCCAGUGAAGGUAGUGGUAUUGGAAGUCAAAUGUGAACCUCCCUAAGAAUAUAAUACCUAUAGGUACUGUUACUACUGUACAACAAUGCAAUAAAUGUCACUGCUUUGUCAACUAUAUAACAAAACGAUAUUUUAUACUAUAGCGAAAUAACUUUUAAAUGUCACCACAUUUCUAGGAAAGUUUUUAAAGAGUUUCAGAUAUGACUUGCACUGCCACUGCCUUUAUAAGGAGCCAUAAACCAAUCAAAUGUGUACUACGCCAGUGAAGAGGUAGUACAGUAGUAAGUCAGGUAUUGGAAGUCAAAUCUGAACCUCUCUAAUUAUAUAACAAGUACUGACACUAUUACUGCUGAAGGACAGUGCGAUAAAAUGUCAUUGUUUUGUUAACUAUAACAGAACGAUAAGGACGGGUUUUACACUAUCAAAGUUUCCGUGAUCACAGUAGGAAUUUUGCAUAGCUGAAUUCUAAGUUUUUGAAGCAUUUGUAAGAAAUGUUUGACGAAACUGGGUCAGUGAUAAACACUAACGCCCGUAUUCUAAAAGCUCACUCACACUCAAUGAGCGGAGGUUGAAUCCGGAAUAGCUGGAUGGUUAGUAGUCACGUAGUAAGGUACGACACUAACCCUCCAGGGAUUCAAAAACAGCAUUGACACUCGAGAGAAGCUCAGAUUGAAUGUCCACUCUGAGUGUGAGUGAGCUUUUAGAAUACGGGCGUUAGUCCGUAACGUUUCUAAAAUUCCCUGAAACAUUUCUAACAAAUCCUUCUAAUUCAAAAUCAAAUCUCAGAAACUUUGAUAGUGUAAAUCAGCCUAUAUUCCAACAAUAACAAAAUAACUUUUAAUUGCGAACACAUUUUAGUAUAGUUUCUUUGUGAAUAACAAAGUUCGGUUCCCAUUUGUGCUG